Molecule: ribosomal RNA, 364 nt
Filed under: uncultured bacterium
Lineage: Bacteria
Description: bacterial SSU rRNA
Rfam family: Bacterial small subunit ribosomal RNA
Source: RNAcentral
GAUGCACGCUAGCGGCAGGCUUAACACAUGCAAGUCGAGGGGUAUUGGUUUUCGGACCAAGAGACCGGCGCACGGGUGCGUAACGCGUAUGCAAUCUACCUUUUGCAGAGGGAUAGCCCAGAGAAAUUUGGAUUAAUACCUCAUAGUAUAGUACUUUGGCAUCAAGGAACUAUUAAAGUCACAACGGCAAAAGAUGAGCAUGCGUCCCACUAGCUAGUUGGUAAGGUAACGGCUUACCAAGGCUACGAUGGGUAGGGGUCCUGAGAGGGAGAUCCCCCACACUGGUACUGAGACACGGACCAGACUCCUACGGGAGGCAGCAGUGAGGAAUAUUGGUCAAUGGGCGCAAGCCUGAACCAGCCAU